Molecule: transfer RNA, 77 nt
Filed under: Bacillus subtilis
Lineage: Bacteria; Bacillati; Bacillota; Bacilli; Caryophanales; Bacillaceae
Description: tRNA-Met
Rfam family: tRNA
About the family: Transfer RNA (tRNA) molecules are approximately 80 nucleotides in length. Their secondary structure includes four short double-helical elements and three loops (D, anti-codon, and T loops).
Source: RNAcentral
CGCGGGGUGGAGCAGUUCGGUAGCUCGUCGGGCUCAUAACCCGAAGGUCGCAGGUUCAAAUCCUGCACCCGCAACCA